UCCUACGGGAGGCAGCAGUGGGGAAUAUUGCACAAUGGGCGAAAGCCUGAUGCAGCGACGCCGCGUGAGGGAUGACGGCCUUCGGGUUGUAAACCUCUUUCAGCAGGGAAGAAGCGAAAGUGACGGUACCUCAGAAAAGCGCCUAAUCCC
Molecule: ribosomal RNA, 150 nt
Filed under: uncultured Streptomyces sp.
Lineage: Bacteria; Bacillati; Actinomycetota; Actinomycetes; Kitasatosporales; Streptomycetaceae
Description: partial 16S ribosomal RNA
Rfam family: Bacterial small subunit ribosomal RNA
Source: RNAcentral